UGUGACCUCACAGAUCUCACAUUAGAGUCAAAUGUCCCAAGCUACCACCUAUGCAUGACUUGGCCUGGUUAACUCUGCUAUAUUUGUACUUACUGAAACUCAGUACAACUAUCACCCCCCACCCCUCUUCAAUCCUGAUCCAAACAAGGAACUUGUUUUAAAUUGGAUCUUCACACUUGAGUCAGAUCUAUGCAGGAACUCAGCAAGACAGGAAGCUUGUCCAGUGUGAGUCAUAGCUUCAACAACACUGUUAACCUGUAAAGAUGGGAAACUGAACUUCUCCCUGCCAUUGAAGGUCAAAUCCCAGUACAGAUGAUUUCAAGUGUUUCUAGGUUACUCAGCUAUGUUGCCUAGCAACCUGGACUCCUCAUUACCAGGGGUUUCCCCAAGGGUGAUGCCAGCCCCCUUGUGAAAAAGAAAUCUCCAUGCUGCCCACUUGAAAAUGAGGGUACAAUACUCUGAAUCCAUCAGAAGGAACAUCCGGGGAAAUAGAAAGCUACAGGGGCACAAUCUACUUAUGAAAACCCAGAAGCAAACCACCCAAACCACAGCCUCUGAUCCUCCCACAAGGGGAUAUUUUUACCACUCUCCAUAAUGCUGAGUAACUCACAAAAACUAUUAGCUACAGCAUAGAGAGGGUUGGAAGCUGAGUUGGUGGAAGGACUGCCCACACUAAUGAAUGCACAUCCUACAGCUCUGAAGGGUUGGAAGAAGGUGAUAUUAAUGAGCUUUUUUAUAAGCUUGUCACUGAAUUAUGGCCUUUUAAAAAAAUAUCAUGAAAAGUACUGCCUUUGGAGUCAAUACCAUUUUUUAAUCAGCCAUGUUCUUUUGCCUUUAUUAUCUGCCCACUCUC
Long non-coding RNA from Sarcophilus harrisii (Tasmanian devil), 853 nucleotides. RefSeq lists it as uncharacterized. The transcript is spliced from 4 exons. The record is from RefSeq and is a predicted model, not a curated record. Lineage: Eukaryota; Metazoa; Chordata; Mammalia; Dasyuromorphia; Dasyuridae.